CUACGGUCAGAUCACGUUGAAAAUUCCUGUUCCCGUACGAUAACCGAAGGUAAGCACUGUCAAGCCUGGUCAGUAAUAUAAAUAGGUGACAGCUUGGGAAUACCAUGUGCUGUUA
Non-coding RNA from Acanthosepion pharaonis, 115 nucleotides. NCBI's taxonomy places the organism in Eukaryota, Metazoa, Mollusca, Cephalopoda, Sepiida, Sepiidae. The record is from the annotation of a GenBank genome assembly.